CCCGGGUCUUGUACACACCGCCCGUCACACCACGAGAGUUUGUAACACCCGAAGCCGGUGGAGUAACCUUUUAGGAGCUAGCCGUCGAAGGUGGGACAAAUGAUUGGGGUGAAGUCGUAACAAGGUAGCCGUAUCGGAAGGUGCGGCUGGAUCACCUCCUUU
Molecule: ribosomal RNA, 162 nt
Filed under: Staphylococcus aureus
Lineage: Bacteria; Bacillati; Bacillota; Bacilli; Caryophanales; Staphylococcaceae
Description: partial 16S ribosomal RNA
Rfam family: Bacterial small subunit ribosomal RNA
Source: RNAcentral